Molecule: ribosomal RNA, 1904 nt
Filed under: Escherichia coli
Lineage: Bacteria; Pseudomonadati; Pseudomonadota; Gammaproteobacteria; Enterobacterales; Enterobacteriaceae
Description: partial 23S ribosomal RNA
Rfam family: Bacterial large subunit ribosomal RNA
Source: RNAcentral
UGUUUCGGCAAGGGGGUCAUCCCGACUUACCAACCCGAUGCAAACUGCGAAUACCGGAGAAUGUUAUCACGGGAGACACACGGCGGGUGCUAACGUCCGUCGUGAAGAGGGAAACAACCCAGACCGCCAGCUAAGGUCCCAAAGUCAUGGUUAAGUGGGAAACGAUGUGGGAAGGCCCAGACAGCCAGGAUGUUGGCUUAGAAGCAGCCAUCAUUUAAAGAAAGCGUAAUAGCUCACUGGUCGAGUCGGCCUGCGCGGAAGAUGUAACGGGGCUAAACCAUGCACCGAAGCUGCGGCAGCGACGCUUAUGCGUUGUUGGGUAGGGGAGCGUUCUGUAAGCCUGUGAAGGUGUGCUGUGAGGCAUGCUGGAGGUAUCAGAAGUGCGAAUGCUGACAUAAGUAACGAUAAAGCGGGUGAAAAGCCCGCUCGCCGGAAGACCAAGGGUUCCUGUCCAACGUUAAUCGGGGCAGGGUGAGUCGACCCCUAAGGCGAGGCCGAAAGGCGUAGUCGAUGGGAAACAGGUUAAUAUUCCUGUACUUGGUGUUACUGCGAAGGGGGGACGGAGAAGGCUAUGUUGGCCGGGCGACGGUUGUCCCGGUUUAAGCGUGUAGGCUGGUUUUCCAGGCAAAUCCGGAAAAUCAAGGCUGAGGCGUGAUGACGAGGCACUACGGUGCUGAAGCAACAAAUGCCCUGCUUCCAGGAAAAGCCUCUAAGCAUCAGGUAACAUCAAAUCGUACCCCAAACCGACACAGGUGGUCAGGUAGAGAAUACCAAGGCGCUUGAGAGAACUCGGGUGAAGGAACUAGGCAAAAUGGUGCCGUAACUUCGGGAGAAGGCACGCUGAUAUGUAGGUGAAGUCCCUCGCGGAUGGAGCUGAAAUCAGUCGAAGAUACCAGCUGGCUGCAACUGUUUAUUAAAAACACAGCACUGUGCAAACACGAAAGUGGACGUAUACGGUGUGACGCCUGCCCGGUGCCGGAAGGUUAAUUGAUGGGGUCAGCGCAAGCGAAGCUCUUGAUCGAAGCCCCGGUAAACGGCGGCCGUAACUAUAACGGUCCUAAGGUAGCGAAAUUCCUUGUCGGGUAAGUUCCGACCUGCACGAAUGGCGUAAUGAUGGCCAGGCUGUCUCCACCCGAGACUCAGUGAAAUUGAACUCGCUGUGAAGAUGCAGUGUACCCGCGGCAAGACGGAAAGACCCCGUGAACCUUUACUAUAGCUUGACACUGAACAUUGAGCCUUGAUGUGUAGGAUAGGUGGGAGGCUUAGAAGUGUGGACGCCAGUCUGCAUGGAGCCGACCUUGAAAUACCACCCUUUAAUGUUUGAUGUUCUAACGUUGACCCGUAAUCCGGGUUGCGGACAGUGUCUGGUGGGUAGUUUGACUGGGGCGGUCUCCUCCUAAAGAGUAACGGAGGAGCACGAAGGUUGGCUAAUCCUGGUCGGACAUCAGGAGGUUAGUGCAAUGGCAUAAGCCAGCUUGACUGCGAGCGUGACGGCGCGAGCAGGUGCGAAAGCAGGUCAUAGUGAUCCGGUGGUUCUGAAUGGAAGGGCCAUCGCUCAACGGAUAAAAGGUACUCCGGGGAUAACAGGCUGAUACCGCCCAAGAGUUCAUAUCGACGGCGGUGUUUGGCACCUCGAUGUCGGCUCAUCACAUCCUGGGGCUGAAGUAGGUCCCAAGGGUAUGGCUGUUCGCCAUUUAAAGUGGUACGCGAGCUGGGUUUAGAACGUCGUGAGACAGUUCGGUCCCUAUCUGCCGUGGGCGCUGGAGAACUGAGGGGGGCUGCUCCUAGUACGAGAGGACCGGAGUGGACGCAUCACUGGUGUUCGGGUUGUCAUGCCAAUGGCACUGCCCGGUAGCUAAAUGCGGAAGAGAUAAGUGCUGAAAGCAUCUAAGCACGAAACUUGC